CGUGUGCAUGAUGACAUGCUUCUUGCAGCCUCGGAAGCUUUGGCCGCGCAGGUUUCGCAGGAGAACUUUGCUGAUGGACUUAUCUAUCCACCAUUCACGAACAUUAGAAAGAUAUCUGCUCACAUUGCUGCUAAAGUAGCGGCAAAAGUCUAUGAACUUGGUUUGGCUAGUCGUCUCCCUCGCCCGGAAAACCUGGUGAAAUAUGCGGAGAGCUGCAUGUAUACCCCCACCUAUCGCAGUUACCGAUAAAUUAACUAAAUAUCAAGCCUCCAUUUUUGUAGUAAAUAAGUAACAAUAUAGACAUUGUAAGUUUUUAUUUUAUUUUAUUUGGAUUGGCUGUCAGUUUAACAUUGGUUUUAAGUG
Molecule: unclassified non-coding RNA, 363 nt
Filed under: Hevea brasiliensis (rubber tree)
Lineage: Eukaryota; Viridiplantae; Streptophyta; Magnoliopsida; Malpighiales; Euphorbiaceae
Source: RNAcentral